UGUUUGUUUGGCGUUUCAGCUGCGCUGAACUGAAUAUGGGAUCUUAGUUCCCCGACCAGGGAUCGAACCCAUACCUGCUGCAGUGGAAACACACCAGACUACCAGGGAAAUCCCUGUGUGGGAAUACAUGCUACCUCUUCUUAUCAGCAUUUGCCUGUAUGUAGCCUGAAUUCAUGGGCUUCCCUGAUGGCUCAGCGGUAAAGAAUCCACCUGCCAAUGCAGGAGACGUGGAUCCGAUCUUUGACUUAGGAAGAUCCCCUGGAGGAGAGCAUGGCAGCCCACUCCAGUAUUCUUGCCUGGAAAAUCCCAUGGACAGAGGAACUUGGCAGGCUGCAGUUCAUGGGAUCGCAAAAGAGUCAGACACAAGACUAAGCAACUAAAUAACAACAGCAAGCAACAACAGUUUGGAGGUCAUCCUGCAGCUCCACCAAGGCAAUUCUGAUCAAGGCUGUCUUGAACUGGAUGAGUGUCUUUUAUCCCUCAGCCUACCCCAAGGUGAUUCUUUGAGCAAACUUGUGUAUGAUGCCAACGGGCUCCGCAGAGCAUCCGAGAAACAUGCCCAGAGGUGCCAUUAGGAUGUGGGAAUUAUGAGGUGAGCAGGAAGAAGCCAAAAAACCAGGGAGCCACUUGAGCAGAGAGUAUAAACAUAAAUAUCCCCGAGCAGGCCCCGGCACUGGGUUUUUUAUGUUGAUGUGCUAAUCUGUUAUCCACUAAGGGUUUAUUUACGCCGUUUUGGUAUUCCCUGCAAUUCAUUUAUCUGCAUAAGGAAGAAGCACUAACAGGACAGUUCCUCAUGAACAAGCGUCCCUGUGUGAUCCCCACUGCUGUUUAUAAUCCUUCAUGCCCAGAUCUAUAAUUCAUGAGCCGAUGGUCUGGUGGCAGUUUCCAUAAAGGCCAUGCGGGGCACCCAGUCGUUAAGGCUCGCACUGUCAUGCAUGGAAUCAAAAUCAGCCCACUCUCCUUCUAUUCAUCACGACGCCACCGACAUGUGGGCAAUGAUAUUAUCCAAAUAUUAUUAAAACUUUGAACCCUGUCCCCAUAAAUUAUGGCCGAAUGGCUCCGUGGCCAUUAGGAGAGGGGAUGGAUGGGCUUCAGUUGCCGCCGAGUAAUUAUGUGCUUAAAAGGAAGCGUGGCUGCGCAUUCCGCUAGUAAAACAGAGAGAAGCUGGGCUCGUUUGUUACUGCUGGGGUGUUCGAAGCCGGAUCGCUCAGGCAGGUCAAGUCAACCUUACAGCAGGACAAUUAUCUGCCAAGAGAGACCAAACAUCUGUUAUUAAGUAUGUACAGACAUCAAGACAACAUGCUAAAAACCUCGUCCACUUCAAACACUUGGCGUAUUCCACACAACACCCCCCUCGCGUUUGGUUACUGCAGCCGUCAGCUUUGAAAUAUACCCUAUCUUCCCUCCCCCGGCCCCUCGCUUUAAUGUGCCCUGCAGCUGCUAAAGAUGGUGUUGUAACUUUAGAAGGACCUCGCUAUCUUUCUCCAACUCUUUAAGUAAUAAUCAUAAUUUUCAUUGUGGUUUUUUUUUUCUCCCCAACUUUCUUUUGCAUUGAUUAAUUAUUCAAGGAGUAUUGCUGGGGCAGAGAUAACGUGGGAAUGUGCAAGGUCAGCCCGUGUUUAGAUCAGAAGCCCCAAUUCUUCCUUUGAUUCCAGGAUGGGCAGCAACGGACAGGCUGGUAUGGUACAUGGGAAGAGAGAUGGUUCUGUGCUGGGUGCAGGAAAUGGGAAAGGGUGGGGGUUCAGGCUUUCAUGGUUCCCCGGGACCAUCUGUUUAUCUAUUGUGGGGAACAAGGGAGAGGCACCCAAAAAUCAGGUCAGAGGGAGUGGGGAGCAGGCUAGAAAACCAGGCUUCAGACCCAGAGAGUGGACAGAGCUGGGGAUGGGCAAGAUGGCUGGAUGAGGGCAGUGGAGUGGUGGCGGGGGGGAACCCAGGGAGAUAACAUUGUAAUCACUCCAGCUGAGAGCAUUUCCAGACGAGAAAACUGGAGUUGCGAUUUUCCUCUCAUAAAGAGGUGAAGUAUAAUAUCAAAUAAGGAGAGUGGGGCCAUGGUGUGCGGAGGAGGAAGAACAAUAUCUCCUUGUCUGCAUGACGUAGUAAUAACAGGCCAGAUUCCUUUCUUCUCAAACAGAAUGGAAGCUCCAGAUCUUCUGGGGGCACUUACAAUAUGAACAUCUUAAGGAUAUAUGAAGUCUGGAUUAGCUUCAAAGUAAUCCAGGCUGGAAAGGGGAUGGGCAGGGCUAUAGAUGAAACAAAAGGAGCCCUGCAUUAAUAAUGGCUGAAGCCCAGUCAUGGGUACCGGGGGAGGGGGGUGGUUUAUCAGAUGAUUCUCUACAUUUUGAUUAUAUCUAAAAAUUUACAUAAUAAAAAAUAUAUAUAUAUCAA
Long non-coding RNA from Bubalus bubalis (water buffalo), 2385 nucleotides. RefSeq lists it as uncharacterized. The transcript is spliced from 2 exons. The record is from RefSeq and is a predicted model, not a curated record. NCBI's taxonomy places the organism in Eukaryota, Metazoa, Chordata, Mammalia, Artiodactyla, Bovidae.